RNAcentral lists this long non-coding RNA (2011 nucleotides) under Bemisia tabaci. Its description in RNAcentral is "lncRNA ENSSWEETPG007422". Lineage: Eukaryota; Metazoa; Arthropoda; Insecta; Hemiptera; Aleyrodidae. The record is from RNAcentral.
ACAUUUCUUUUUAAAAAAUUACAUUAAUGAUCUUUCAGAUUUCAUCCCCAGAUUUCCUGAUUCUUAGACGGAAACUGCUGUUGAAGUGUUGAGUAUAUGAGGUAACCGGUAAGCCGGCAACAGUGUCAACGCCGAUGAAAUUUUCGUGAAUUCAGUCCAUGCGACAUGCGUCGAGAUUGAAAUUUUCGCUGAAAUUUCGUUCGUGCAAGCCUUUAUUCAUCUGCUAUAACAUCUGAGACAGAGAUGAGUUAUGAGCACCUCAUCGCCUGCUCCAUCCGACGAUAGAUUGUUGGAAGAUGCUCCUCUUGAUUUCCGAGAAGUGUGCAGUGUCAUUGCUCCACCGGGAUAUCUACCAACUAUCAUUAGACGAAAGCUAGAGAAAUCAGCACCCGUAGUGCCACCCCCUGUAGCGGCCUCCCCCUCCGUUGCACUGCCACAUGCUAUCGCAGUGUCAACUGUGAGCACCGUAGAUUUUGGCAAUCCUGUUCUUCUGCCCAGCAACUGUAAACCUGUAUCGUUGUCCGUGCCAGUGAUGAGUCUAUUACCCCAAGCACCACCUAAGCCAAAAGAAGCAGAUACUUAUAAUGCAGGGCCUUCUGGCGUGCAUCCCAUAAAAAAUACGCCCCAAGAAGGAGAAAAAGUCGCCCAAGAAAAAACGUCAACAUUCAGAUUUGAGUCGUUGGAAUAAAACUCCGCGGCCCCGCUUAGGAGUAGAUGAUCCAAUUCUUCCUAGACUGGAACCAAAGCCAAAGGCAGAAGCGAGUACAUCUGAACAAAAUUCCAAUCCAAAUAUUUAUACAGCACUCCCAUCAGCUGACGCCAACUCCUCGCAGGCAAGCUCUGUGAAUUCAUCUCAAUCCCAGACAAGUCUGCUUCAUCAAGCAGCAUCGGCAAUCUCUGAAGGUAAACCUGGAAACAUCAUCAAGCAUGUCUUAGUGAAUGAGCCAGAUGCUAAUCAAGAAUCUGUGGUACAAGGAUUCUUCCUAAAUUCCUUGGAAAAGAAUCUUGUGCUGGUCUCGGACUCCAAGCAAACAGCGGCUACAUCCACCUCAAGCAAUCAGCCAGUGGGCACAUUUAUAAUCCAGAAUGCCGCUCUGCACUCGUCUCUUCAGAAUGGCAACGCAAAUGGGAAAGAAACUCCGGUUCAAAGUCUGCUCAACAGUCAGAGCCUUCUCCUCAAUAGUUUAGCAAACUCGCCCAACAUGACUAAUUUUGCAAUCGCCACAAGUGCAGUGAAAAGCAAGCAGGAGACACCACCUUCAAUUCACCGAAUACUCUGCCAAGAACAAAGGCAAUUCGAAUUCGAUUCGGUUACCUGUUGGAGGUUUGCAAGGAAAAUCCUACAAUGUACUUCAACUGCUGUAUCAAUCAAUAGUACAACGUGUAGCCCAAAACAACUGGCAAUCCCCAAAUCAGUUGUGUCCUCUCCGAAUGUUCUUCUGUCUCUCGCUUCGCAGAAACAAUGCUCUUCCUCAGGUUUAUUUCAGAAUCCGAAUAUUAUCAGGCUUGCAGUCAAAAUGGGAAACUUUGCCCCGAUGUGAGCAUGCCAGUUCCACCACCCGUCAACACACCUCUCCACAAGUCUGUAAGUGUGCAUCUCAGCUUUUCAUUCAAGAAAGUCAAUAGUGAAGUGUAUUGAUUAACGCAGUUCAUCCUAUCACCAAGUGAUCAAAUGGACUGAAUGUAGGUAACAGAAAAGGAUCAAGUCACACUCCGGAAAAAACAUAAAUUAAGAGUCAUGUUCAGCCUAACUAGUCCGGAUGGUCGGGACGAGAUGUGACUUGGUUUCCCUUUGUUACUUAAAUUCGAUCAAAAUUCAACCAAAGCCAGUGUAAAAUCCCUUGCUUAGGAGUUAAUUUUUGAAACUUUUAGUGUAUUCAUCAAAUUCCAUUGAAAAUUUUGUCGGGGAGACAUGGAACGAAACUUACAAUUCAAAACUCAGAAUCUGGUUUAUUAAAAGAAUGUUGAUUUUGCACUAUUUCUAGUUGCGAAGUACAAAUCAUGAUACAAU